This 374-nucleotide ribosomal RNA is filed under the name uncultured organism. RNAcentral describes it as "partial 16S ribosomal RNA". It matches the Rfam family "Bacterial small subunit ribosomal RNA", at positions 527 to 896 of the family's 1533-position model. The record is from RNAcentral.
GUAGGUGGCAAGCGUUGUCCGGAAUUAUUGGGCGUAAAGCGCGCGCAGGCGGUUCUUUAAGUCUGAUGUGAAAGCCCACGGCUCAACCGUGGAGGGUCAUUGGAAACUGGAGAACUUGAGUACAGAAGAGGAAAGCGGAAUUCCACGUGUAGCGGUGAAAUGCGUAGAGAUGUGGAGGAACACCAGUGGCGAAGGCGGCUUUCUGGUCUGUAACUGACGCUGAGGCGCGAAAGCGUGGGGAGCAAACAGGGAUUAGAUACCUGGUAGUCCACGCCGUAAACGAUGAGUGCUAAGUGUUAGGGGGGGUUUCCGCCCCCUUAGUGCUGCAGCUAACGCAUUAAGCACUCCGCCUGGGGAGUACGGCCGCAAGGCUG